This 87-nucleotide transfer RNA is filed under the name Magnetovibrio sp. RNAcentral's name for it is "tRNA-Leu". It matches the Rfam family "tRNA". From Rfam's summary of the family: Transfer RNA (tRNA) molecules are approximately 80 nucleotides in length. The record is from RNAcentral. Lineage: Bacteria; Pseudomonadati; Pseudomonadota; Alphaproteobacteria; Rhodospirillales; Magnetovibrionaceae.
GCGGGCGUGGUGAAAUUGGUAAACACAAGAGACUUAAAAUCUCUCGGUCUAACGGCCUUGCCGGUUCAAGUCCGGCCGCCCGCACCA